This 68-nucleotide transfer RNA is filed under the name Omiodes indicata. RNAcentral's name for it is "tRNA-Arg". The record is from RNAcentral. Lineage: Eukaryota; Metazoa; Arthropoda; Insecta; Lepidoptera; Crambidae.
AAAUAAGAAGCAAUAGAUGCAUUUAAUUUCGACUUAAAAAAUAGAGUUAUUUAUUAACUCCUUAUUUA